This is a non-coding RNA of Earliella scabrosa, 83 nucleotides long. NCBI's taxonomy places the organism in Eukaryota, Fungi, Basidiomycota, Agaricomycetes, Polyporales, Polyporaceae. The record is from the annotation of a GenBank genome assembly.
UCCCGUUUAGCUCAGUUGGUAGAGCGCGUCACUAGUAACCAAAUGCUAUGACGAGGUCAGUCGUUCGAGUCGGCUAAUGGGAA